Gallus gallus (chicken) is the source of this 46-nucleotide non-coding RNA. The record is from Rfam. Lineage: Eukaryota; Metazoa; Chordata; Aves; Galliformes; Phasianidae.
UCAAAGGCUUUUUUAAAAUCCAUACAGUGUAUAUUUUAAGAAACUU